GCCAAUAGAAUAAGAGAGAGAUGGCAAGCCUAGGUCAGAAGAGGCCUUUGUGUUUCUACUUGUACUCUUCCUGAGCCAUGCAGGACCGGAGAGAAGCAUCCUUCAGGCAGCCCCUGCUCUACCCUGCUCUUAGGAUGUGACCAGGAUUAACAGCGUUCGGCAAGGAGCCCAGCUGAGCCAGAGCUGGCAAAGAAGCAGCUAGUUCUCGACCCAAACUAAGACCUCGCUCUUACAAAUAAUGGUGACUAUUCACUGAACACCAGACUGUGCCAGAUGUCACAACUUAUUUUCAACUCUGAAAUGCAGACAAGAAUGGCACCUAUCAACCUUAAGUGAGUUUGACCUAGGCUGUCGAUUGCCCUGUAAUUGGAGAUAAAGUAGCAGCAAACAUCUUCAAACAAAUGUGCCCUCUUUGGUAUGAUACAGCCCUUUGAGUCCAUGUUCGCGAGCUCACGGCGGUAAGGUGGUUCCUGUGGUCAUUCUAUUUUUAGUUUCCUGAGAAAUCUCCUCACAGAUUCCCAUCGUGGCUGCAUCCCCCAACACUAUUACAAUAGUAAUAUGAGCUCCUAUUUUUACACAUUCUCCCUAAAAUUUAUCACUUUUUUUUCUUGGUGAUAGGCAUUCUGACAGGAGGUAGAAUAUCAAAAUAGCUUUAACAUCAUUAUACUGAUGGCUAAAGAUGUUGAAGACUUUAAAAACAUUACAACUUUUUUUUUUGUCCAUUCAUGUUUCUUCUUUUGAAAAGAAGAACUGGUCCAUGUAUUUGUUGGUAGCUAUAGUUUUUUUGAUGUUUAGUUUCUGAAGUUCUUUUUUCUCAACUUUGUUUUGUUUUGUUUUGUUUU
Molecule: long non-coding RNA, 842 nt
Organism: Mus musculus (house mouse)
Lineage: Eukaryota; Metazoa; Chordata; Mammalia; Rodentia; Muridae
Product: predicted gene, 34513
Exons: 3
Source: RefSeq, a predicted model, not a curated record